GAUGAGGUGUCCGGCAUCCGGCCGGAUGAAAAGGGAAACCGGUGAAAAACCGGUGCAACAGCCAUUACUGUGAUGAAUGAACCGGACAUGAAUCCCAUUGGCCCGUCCGAGAAGGGAUGUCCGGAGGCACUGCCGCAUUCUCAGCCAGGAGACCUGCCCCAU
Molecule: non-coding RNA, 162 nt
Filed under: bovine gut metagenome
Source: RNAcentral